Nelumbo nucifera (sacred lotus) is the source of this 2830-nucleotide RNA transcript. It is a transcript of the gene named auxin-responsive protein SAUR23 pseudogene, with no coding region annotated. NCBI's taxonomy places the organism in Eukaryota, Viridiplantae, Streptophyta, Magnoliopsida, Proteales, Nelumbonaceae. The record is from RefSeq and is a predicted model, not a curated record.
CGAGUUUGAAUUGAAAAUGAGAGAGAAUUUUGUUUUCAAAAAAUCAAAGUAAAAUUUGUUAUAUUUCUCGGUCGAAGUAAAUGGAAUAUAGUUUUGCAUCCAUUCUCAGGUAAAAGAGAAAAACCCUCAAAGAGAGAAGAGAGAAACCCUCGAAGAGAGAGAGAGAGAAUGGUUCUGAGCCUCGACAAAGAGAUCUGCCUUCGAUUUGUGAAUAGCGAAGCCACUCAACCUUACUUUCGCUCCAACGUAGCUAUCAUCAGAACAACCGAUUUCAAGGAUCUAAAAUCCUUGUUGUUCUUUAGUUUCUUAGGUACAAUCUACAUUCCAAGGCUCAUGUUUAUUGGGUUUACUUAUAGAUUUAAGUUUUCACUCGGUAGGGUUAGGGUUUAUUGACUCUUUGGUUUAUUUAGGGUUUGAUAUGCUAAUUGAACUAGGGUAUUGGAGAUUUGAUUGCCUAGAUGUGAUUAUGAUUAUUUUUUUUUUUUAUUUUGAUGAUUUGGUUUGGAAUGUGAUUAUAAAAUUGAGUUUCAUAUCACUGAAUAUUUAUUUGGACCAAAAUAAGAAUAUUGUCCAUUUCACUUGGAUGUAAGGAAAUGACUGAUCGAUUCGGAGUUGAACUGAAAACACUACACAUUAAGAGUAGGAUGAGAACCUUGAAGCCAAUUUAUGCAGAGGCUAAGAAGUUGUUAGGUACAAGUGGCUUUGUUUGGAAUGAAGCAAAAAAUCAAAUUCAAGCUGACCUUGAAGUUUGGAAGGAGUAUCUAUAGGUAAACAUAUAUUUAUGUAAGUCUUCAUUUAUAAAAAAAAUUGGUUAGUGAAGCAUGUAUUAAUUAUGAAUUGUACAAUGUAGACCAAUCCACUUGCAGCUAAUGUAUAUGUAUGAUGAAAUGCAAGUAGUAUUGGAAACUGACCAAGCAACAGGUGAAGAUGCUAGAGAAGGUAUUGAGUUGGCAAAUGAAGCAGAGAUUGAAGGAAUUGGUUGUGAUGAAACUGAUGCAGAUAUUGAUAAUGAUGCAUUAACACCAGUGUUUAUCAGUGAUGGGACCCAAUUAGUGCCUACACAGAGCAAGGCAACAUCUUCAACAAGUAUGAAGAAGAUGGCAAUAAGACAAAAUCUGAUGAUGAGUUUUUGAAUGCAAUUGUUACGAUGAACGAAACAAUGAACAAGAUUGCAAAUGCUCUCACAGUUCAAAGUAAGCAAGAAUUUCUCAAGGAGCUAUGGAAUGAGGUCAUGGAUUUGGACGGGUUUGAUCACGAAGAAUUAAUGAUGUGUUUGGCUACUUUGCUUGAAAUGAUAGGGAAAGCCAAAAUAUUUCUUGCCAGAGAUAAGCCUCGUAGGGUCAAAAUGGUCCAAUCCAUCAUCUCUAAGUUGCUUUAGGAAAUUGACUUGAUAGAGAGAUGAGAUACUUUUCCUAAUCUACACAGUUAAGCAGUGGGAGAAAUACAUUUGAUGGAGGAUCUAAAGCAGUGCAUAGUAUUUUUUGGGGCUAUCACAUGCAUAGAUACCCUAGCAUGUCUGAAUUGUUGAUUAUGGUUCUUAUCUGUCAUGUUUUGGUUAUGGUUCUUGAUAGAACAGAACAACUUUGGGUUAUGAAAAAACAAAUAUUAUAUGUUGAAAUCUUGUUUUUCUUAUGAUUAGUAAACUUGAUGACUCUGUAUCAGUGUGGAUGACUUUUGGUUUUGAUAAUUUUUUUGAGUAUUGGAUAUAAUUAUAUGUCUUCAAUUUGGUUUCUACAAAUAUGUUUAACUCAUUGAGCUCUAGCUCCAACAUUUCAGUAAGACAAACCUUCCUUUCGGAUAUUAUUCUUCUAGGACUUAUUCUUAUUUGACAGGUGAAGGAAAAUAUUCAAUUUUUCAUUUGCCCUCUACUGAUUUUGCUAUUGUCUGUUUAGAAUUUAAAAUCUUUUAACUUUCCAUGCGGGACAUCCACUGCUAAUGUAUCAAUUGGACAUUGGAUUAUUGGUACUCAUGAGGGGUUGGUGCUCUAAGAGGACAAAUUCUUCUGUGACAAGUGCUGCAGGUGCUCUUUGCUGCUUUGAUCCUUAUUUGUUGCAAAUACGCUGCUUGGAUACGCUGCUCUGUUCCACUUCAUUUCAGAAGCAUUCUGGAAAAAAAAGUGCAAAUACGCUGCUCUGUUCCAACGCUUGCUUCCUGCUGUGAGUGGUGUGAGUUGGUUGUUUUGAAUCCAGGUCCAGAAGCAACGUUUGCUUCAAAGCUGCUUGGAGCAAGACUGUUUUCCUUUACAAUCAUCUAUGAAGAACUGAAGACAGGGUUAACUUGACUUGGAUGGGGCUGAAGUCAAACAACUCAUGGAAGCUGCAAGAUAUAAGUGCAUUGAAAAAAGCUAGAUUUCUUGAUCUUUUAUUUUACAUGUCUGAAAUUCUUGGGUUGAUCAUUUCUUUCUUUUUCAGGCUGAUGUGGAUGGAAAUGGAACAAUCGAUUAUAUUGAAUUUAUUACUACAUACAUGUAUAGGCACAAGCUAGAAAGAGAUGAACAUCUAUAUAAAGCCUUCCAGCAUUUUGAUAAAGAUUAGAGCGGAUACAUUUGUGACAGGAUGCUUGGAAGCUCUAUAGUUCCUAUUCAAAAAGAAUAGUCGUCGUUGGCGUAAAGAGGAGAGAGAAAAUGGCUUACUUGGUGGAAGAUACCGUUGUAUUUGCAUUGAUGGUGGGAGUAACUGGUUAUUUUUAUUUUGUUAUUUUUUACCAAGAUGCCCGUUGUAUGUCCAGACAGCUUGUUAUUUUUUAUAUUUGUUUAAUGGUGUGAGUAGCUGAUUGUUUUUAUGUUGUUAUUUUUUACCAAGAUGGAAAUGCCAAACAUCCACAAAAAUUA